UAUUAUAAUAAGUUUAAAAUUUAGAUGUUUGAGUAGUAAUAGUUAAAAUCUUGAAACUCAAAGAAUUUGGCGGUGUUUUAGUCCUUUCAGAGGAAUCUGUCCUGUAAUUGAUAAUACACGAUUUAUUAUACUUUCUUUUGUGAUUCAAUUUGUAUACCGCCGUCAUAAGAUUAUCUUGUAGAGGGUUUAAAAUUUCUUUAUUUUUGAUUAAUAAGAAUGUCAGGUCAAGGUGCAGUAUAUGGGAAAGUAGAGAUGGAUUACAAUAAUAUUAAUUAAAUGGAUAUUUAUAUAUGAUAAUUAAGUUGAAGGUGGAUUUGAUUGUAAAUUCAAUUUUAAAUAUUGAGUUGAUUUGGGCUCUAGAAUGUGCACACAUCGCCCGUCGCUCUCGUAUUUAAUAUGAG
RNAcentral lists this ribosomal RNA (401 nucleotides) under Luzara brevipennis. Its description in RNAcentral is "partial 12S ribosomal RNA". The record is from RNAcentral. Lineage: Eukaryota; Metazoa; Arthropoda; Insecta; Orthoptera; Phalangopsidae.